GAGGGUAUAUUUCAGUGGCAGAGUGCAUGCCUAGCAUGCACGAGGUCCUGGGUUCAAUCCCCAGUACUCCCA
Molecule: transfer RNA, 72 nt
Filed under: Camelus bactrianus (Bactrian camel)
Lineage: Eukaryota; Metazoa; Chordata; Mammalia; Artiodactyla; Camelidae
Also listed under: 2 other names
Rfam family: tRNA
About the family: Transfer RNA (tRNA) molecules are approximately 80 nucleotides in length.
Source: Rfam by way of RNAcentral